CGGUAACAGGGAGCUUGCUCCGCUGACGAGUGGCGAACGGGUGAGUAAUAUAUCGGAACGUACCCAGAAGUGGGGGAUAACGUAGCGAAAGUUACGCUAAUACCGCAUACGAUCUACGGAUGAAAGUGGGGGACCUUCGGGCCUCAUGCUUUUGGAGCGGCCGAUAUCUGAUUAGCUAGUUGGUGAGGUAAAGGCUCACCAAGGCGACGAUCAGUAGCUGGUCUGAGAGGACGACCAGCCACACUGGAACUGAGACACGGUCCAGACUCCUACGGGAGGCAGCAGUGGGGAAUUUUGGACAAUGGGCGCAAGCCUGAUCCAGCAAUGCCGCGUGAGUGAAGAAGGCCUUCGGGUUGUAAAGCUCUUUUGUCAGGGAAGAAACGGUAGAGGCUAAUAUCCUUUGCUAAUGACGGUACCUGAAGAAUAAGCACCGGCUAACUACGUGCCAGCAGCCGCGGUAAUACGUAGGGUGCAAGCGUUAAUCGGAAUUACUGGGCGUAAAGCGUGCGCAGGCGGUUUUGUAAGUCUGACGUGAAAUCCCCGGGCUCAACCUGGGAAUUGCGUUGGAGACUGCAAGGCUAGAAUCUGGCAGAGGGGGGUAGAAUUCCACGUGUAGCAGUGAAAUGCGUAGAGAUGUGGAGGAACACCGAUGGCGAAGGCAGCCCCCUGGGUCAAGAUUGACGCUCAUGCACGAAAGCGUGGGGAGCAAACAGGAUUAGAUACCCUGGUAGUCCACGCCCUAAACGAUGUCUACUAG
This 757-nucleotide ribosomal RNA is filed under the name Massilia sp. RNAcentral's name for it is "bacterial SSU rRNA". It matches the Rfam family "Bacterial small subunit ribosomal RNA", at positions 67 to 819 of the family's 1533-position model. The record is from RNAcentral. Lineage: Bacteria; Pseudomonadati; Pseudomonadota; Betaproteobacteria; Burkholderiales; Oxalobacteraceae.